This 68-nucleotide transfer RNA is filed under the name Marmota monax (woodchuck). Its description in RNAcentral is "tRNA.Val". It matches the Rfam family "tRNA". Rfam says of the family: Transfer RNA (tRNA) molecules are approximately 80 nucleotides in length. Their secondary structure includes four short double-helical elements and three loops (D, anti-codon, and T loops). Lineage: Eukaryota; Metazoa; Chordata; Mammalia; Rodentia; Sciuridae. The record is from RNAcentral.
GGGAUGUAGCUCAAUGGUAGAGUACUUGCCUAACAUGCACUAGCCCUGGGUUUAAUUCCCAGCACCCA